This 465-nucleotide ribosomal RNA is filed under the name uncultured bacterium. RNAcentral's name for it is "partial 16S ribosomal RNA". It matches the Rfam family "Bacterial small subunit ribosomal RNA", at positions 338 to 795 of the family's 1533-position model. The record is from RNAcentral.
CCUACGGGGGGCAGCAGUAGGGAAUCUUCCACAAUGGACGAAAGUCUGAUGGAGCAACGCCGCGUGAGUGAAGAAGGGUUUCGGCUCGUAAAGCUCUGUUGGUAGUGAAGAAAGAUAGAGGUAGUAACUGGCCUUUUUUUGACGGUAAUUACUUAGAAAGUCACGGCUAACUACGUGCCAGCAGCCGCGGUAAUACGUAGGUGGCAAGCGUUGUCCGGAUUUAUUGGGCGUAAAGCGAGUGCAGGCGGUUUAAUAAGUCUGAUGUGAAAGCCUUCGGCUCAACCGGAGAAUUGCAUCAGAAACUGUUGAACGUGAGUGCAGAAGAGGAGAGUGGAACUCCAUGUGUAGCGGUGGAAUGCGUAGAUAUAUGGAAGAACACCAGUGGCGAAGGCGGCUCUCUGGUCUGCAACUGACGCUGAGGCUCGAAAGCAUGGGUAGCGAACAGGAUUAGAUACCCUUGUAGUC